GGUGGCUUAGUGGUAGAGCACUUGCUUUGCAUGCACGAGGCCCUGGGUUCGAUUCCUCAGCACCA
This 65-nucleotide transfer RNA is filed under the name Dipodomys ordii (Ord's kangaroo rat). It matches the Rfam family "tRNA". From Rfam's summary of the family: Transfer RNA (tRNA) molecules are approximately 80 nucleotides in length. The record is from Rfam by way of RNAcentral. Lineage: Eukaryota; Metazoa; Chordata; Mammalia; Rodentia; Heteromyidae.